UGUCUAGCUGAGGGUUUUCGGACCCUAGCGGCGGACGGGUGAGUAACACGUAGGCAACCUGCCUGUAAGACUGGGAUAACAUAGGGAAACUUAUGCUAAUACCGGAUAGGGUUUUGCUUCGCAUGAAGCGAAACGGAAAGAUGGCGCAAGCUAUCACUUGCAGAUGGGCCUGCGGCGCAUUAGCUAGUUGGUGAGGUAAAGGCUCACCAAGGCGACGAUGCGUAGCCGACCUGAGAGGGUGACCGGCCACACUGGGACUGAGACACGGCCCAGACUCCUACGGGAGGCAGCAGUAGGGAAUUUUCCACAAUGGACGAAAGUCUGAUGGAGCAACGCCGCGUGAACGAUGAAGGCUUUCGGGUCGUAAAGUUCUGUUGUUAGGGAAGAAACAGUGCCAUUUAAAUAAGAUGGCGCCUUGACGGUACCUAACGAGAAAGCCACGGCUAACUACGUGCCAGCAGCCGCGGUAAUA
This 472-nucleotide ribosomal RNA is filed under the name Brevibacillus halotolerans. RNAcentral describes it as "bacterial SSU rRNA". It matches the Rfam family "Bacterial small subunit ribosomal RNA", at positions 60 to 525 of the family's 1533-position model. Lineage: Bacteria; Bacillati; Bacillota; Bacilli; Caryophanales; Paenibacillaceae. The record is from RNAcentral.